ACCUACGGGAGGCAGCAGUGGGGAAUAUUGCACAAUGGGGGAAACCCUGAUGCAGCGACGCCGCGUGAAGGAAGAAGUAUUUCGGUAUGUAAACUUCUAUCAGCAGGGAAGAAAAUGACGGUACCUGACUAAGAAGCCCCGGCUAACUACGUGCCAGCAGCCGCGGUAAUACGUAGGGGGCAAGCGUUAUCCAGAUUUACUGGGUGUAAAGGGAGCGUAGGCGGCGAUGCAAGUCAGAAGUGAAAGCCCGGGGCUCAACCCCGGACCUGCAUUUGAAACUGUUGGUCUUGAGUAUCGGAGAGGCG
RNAcentral lists this ribosomal RNA (305 nucleotides) under uncultured bacterium. Its description in RNAcentral is "bacterial SSU rRNA". It matches the Rfam family "Bacterial small subunit ribosomal RNA", at positions 337 to 659 of the family's 1533-position model. The record is from RNAcentral.